RNAcentral lists this ribosomal RNA (253 nucleotides) under uncultured bacterium. Its description in RNAcentral is "partial 16S ribosomal RNA". It matches the Rfam family "Bacterial small subunit ribosomal RNA", at positions 524 to 776 of the family's 1533-position model. The record is from RNAcentral.
UACGUAGGGUGCAAGCGUUGUCCGGAAUUAUUGGGCGUAAAGAGCUCGUAGGCGGUCUGUCGCGUCGGCUGUGAAAUCCCGAGGCUCAACCUCGGGUCUGCAGCCGAUACGGGCAGGCUAGAGUUCGGUAGGGGAGACUGGAAUUCCUGGUGUAGCGGUGAAAUGCGCAGAUAUCAGGAGGAACACCGGUGGCGAAGGCGGAUCUCUGGGCCUUACCUGACGCUGAGGCGCGAAAGCUAGGGGAGCAAACAGG